GACGAACGCUGGCGGCGUGCCUAAUACAUGCAAGUAGAACGCUGAAGGAGGAGCUUGCUCUUCUGGAUGAGUUGCGAACGGGUGAGUAACGCGUAGGUAACCUGCCUGGUAGCGGGGGAUAACUAUUGGAAACGAUAGCUAAUACCGCAUAACAGUAGAUGUUGCAUGACAUUUGCUUAAAAGGUGCAAUUGCACCACUACCAGAUGGACCUGCGUUGUAUUAGCUAGUUGGUGGGGUAACGGCUCACCAAGGCGACGAUACAUAGCCGACCUGAGAGGGUGAUCGGCCACACUGGGACGGAGACACGGCCCAGACUCCUACGGGAGGCAGCAGUAGGGAAUCUUCGGCAAUGGACGGAAGUCUGACCGAGCAACGCCGCGUGAGUGAAGAAGGUUGUCGGAUCGUAAAGCUCUGUUGUAAGAGAAGAACGAGUGUGAGAGUGGAAAGUUCACACUGUGACGGUAUCUUACCAGAAAGGGACGGCUAACUACGUG
This 495-nucleotide ribosomal RNA is filed under the name uncultured bacterium. RNAcentral describes it as "partial 16S ribosomal RNA". It matches the Rfam family "Bacterial small subunit ribosomal RNA", at positions 28 to 507 of the family's 1533-position model. The record is from RNAcentral.